CGGGGAGUAGCUCAGCCUGGUAGAGCACCUGCUUUGGGAGCAGGGGGUCGUUGGUUCGAAUCCAGUCUCCCCGACCA
Molecule: transfer RNA, 77 nt
Filed under: Limibacillus halophilus
Lineage: Bacteria; Pseudomonadati; Pseudomonadota; Alphaproteobacteria; Rhodospirillales; Rhodovibrionaceae
Also listed under: 2 other names
Description: tRNA-Pro
Rfam family: tRNA
About the family: Transfer RNA (tRNA) molecules are approximately 80 nucleotides in length. Their secondary structure includes four short double-helical elements and three loops (D, anti-codon, and T loops).
Source: RNAcentral